CAGUGGGGAAUAUUGGACAAUGGGCGCAAGCCUGAUCAGCAAUGCCGCGUGUGUGAUGAAGGCCUUCGGGUUGUAAAGCUCUUUUACCCGGGAAGAUAAGGACUGUACCGGGAGAAUAAGCCCCGGCUAACUCCGUGCCAGCAGCCGCGGUAAUACGGAG
This 160-nucleotide ribosomal RNA is filed under the name uncultured bacterium. RNAcentral's name for it is "partial 16S ribosomal RNA". It matches the Rfam family "Bacterial small subunit ribosomal RNA", at positions 352 to 530 of the family's 1533-position model. The record is from RNAcentral.